UACGAAGGGGGCUAGCGUUGCUCGGAAUGACUGGGCGUAAAGGGUGCGUAGGUGGCGCGCUAAGUCAGGUGUGAAAUUUCGGAGCUUAACUCCGAAACUGCAUUUGAUACUGGCGUGCUUGAGGACUGGAGAGGAGACUGGAAUUCACGGUGUAGCAGUGAAAUGCGUAGAGAUCGUGAGGAAGACCAGUGGCGAAGGCGGGUCUCUGGACAGUUCCUGACACUGAGGCACGAAGGCCAGGGGAGCAAACGGG
RNAcentral lists this ribosomal RNA (253 nucleotides) under uncultured bacterium. RNAcentral's name for it is "partial 16S ribosomal RNA". It matches the Rfam family "Bacterial small subunit ribosomal RNA", at positions 524 to 776 of the family's 1533-position model. The record is from RNAcentral.